UCGAACGCUUCUUUUUCCACCGGAGCUUGCUCCACCGGAAAAAGAGGAGUGGCGAACGGGUGAGUAACACGUGGGUAACCUGCCCAUCAGAAGGGGAUAACACUUGGAAACAGGUGCUAAUACCGUAUAACAAUCGAAACCGCAUGGUUUUGAUUUGAAAGGCGCUUUCGGGUGUCGCUGAUGGAUGGACCCGCGGUGCAUUAGCUAGUUGGUGAGGUAACGGCUCACCAAGGCGACGAUGCAUAGCCGACCUGAGAGGGUGAUCGGCCACAUUGGGACUGAGACACGGCCCAAACUCCUACGGGAGGCAGCAGUAGGGAAUCUUCGGCAAUGGACGAAAGUCUGACCGAGCAACGCCGCGUGAGUGAAGAAGGUUUUCGGAUCGUAAAACUCUGUUGUUAGAGAAGAACAAGGAUGAGAGUAACUGUUCAUCCCUUGACGGUAUCUAACCAGAAAGCCACGGCUAACUACGUGCC
RNAcentral lists this ribosomal RNA (476 nucleotides) under Enterococcus hirae. Its description in RNAcentral is "bacterial SSU rRNA". It matches the Rfam family "Bacterial small subunit ribosomal RNA", at positions 62 to 509 of the family's 1533-position model. The record is from RNAcentral. Lineage: Bacteria; Bacillati; Bacillota; Bacilli; Lactobacillales; Enterococcaceae.